Molecule: ribosomal RNA, 228 nt
Filed under: uncultured bacterium
Lineage: Bacteria
Description: partial 16S ribosomal RNA
Rfam family: Bacterial small subunit ribosomal RNA
Source: RNAcentral
CGGGUGAGUAAUAUAUCGGAACGUGCCCAGUAGUGGGGGAUAGCCCGGCGAAAGCCGGAUUAAUACCGCAUACGACCUACGGGUGAAAGGGGGGGAUCGCAAGACCUCUCGCUAUUGGAGCGGCCGAUAUCAGAUUAGCUAGUUGGUGGGGUAAAAGCUCACCAAGGCGACGAUCUGUAGCUGGUCUGAGAGGACGACCAGCCACACUGGGACUGAGACACGGCCCAG